CUACGGGAGGCUCCAGUGAGGAAUAUUGGUCAAUGGGCGCAAGUCUGAACCAGCCAUGUCGCGUGAAGGAUGACUGCCCUAUGGGUUGUAAACUUCUUUUAUAUGGGAAUAAUAUGAUUACGAGUAAUCAAAUGCAGGUACCAUAUGAAUAAGCACCGGCUAACUCCGUGCCAGCAGCCGCGGUAAUACGGAGGGUGCAAGCGUUAUCCGGAUUUAUUGGGUUUAAAGGGUGUGUAGGCGGACUAAUAAGUCAGUGGUGAAAUCCUGCAGCUUAACUGUAGAACUGCCAUUGAAACUGUUAGUCUUGAGUAUAGACGAGGUAGGCGGAAUGAGUUAUGUAGCGGUGAAAUGCAUAGAUAUAACUCAGAACACCGAUUGCGAAGGCAGCUUACUAGACUAUUACUGACGCUGAUGCACGAAAGCGUGGGUAGCGAACAGGAUUAGAUACCCCCGUAGUC
This 458-nucleotide ribosomal RNA is filed under the name uncultured bacterium. Its description in RNAcentral is "partial 16S ribosomal RNA". It matches the Rfam family "Bacterial small subunit ribosomal RNA", at positions 339 to 795 of the family's 1533-position model. The record is from RNAcentral.